AGUGAACGCUGGCGGUAGGCCUAACACAUGCAAGUCGAACGGCAGCACAGUAAGAGCUUGCUCUUACGGGUGGCGAGUGGCGGACGGGUGAGGAAUACAUCGGAAUCUACUUUUUCGUGGGGGAUAACGUAGGGAAACUUACGCUAAUACCGCAUACGACCUACGGGUGAAAGCAGGGGAUCUUCGGACCUUGCGCGAUUGAAUGAGCCGAUGUCGGAUUAGCUAGUUGGCGGGGUAAAGGCCCACCAAGGCGACGAUCCGUAGCUGGUCUGAGAGGAUGAACAGGCAGACUGGAACUGAGACACGGGCCCGACGCCUACGGGAGGCAGCGGUGCGGAUUAGUAGACAAUGGGCGCAAGCCUGAUCCAGCCAUGUGGCGUGGAUGAAGAAGGCCUUCGGGUUGUAAAGUACUGUUGGCGGGAAGGAAGGGAGAAAAGUUAAUACCCUUCGUCACUGACGGUACCCGAAGAAGAAGCACCGGCUAACUCCGGG
This 492-nucleotide ribosomal RNA is filed under the name uncultured bacterium. RNAcentral's name for it is "partial 16S ribosomal RNA". It matches the Rfam family "Bacterial small subunit ribosomal RNA", at positions 29 to 507 of the family's 1533-position model. The record is from RNAcentral.